CAACGGGUGAGUAAUACAUCGGAACGUGUCCGCUCGUGGGGGACAACCAGCCGAAAGGUUGGCUAAUACCGCAUGAGUUCUACGGAAGAAAGAGGGGGACCCGCAAGGGCCUCUCGCGAGCGGAGCGGCCGAUGACUGAUUAGCCGGUUGGUGAGGUAACGGCUCACCAAAGCAACGAUCAGUAGCUGGUCUGAGAGGACGACCAGCCACACUGGGACUGAGACACGGCCCAGACUCCUACGGAAGGCAGCAG
This 253-nucleotide ribosomal RNA is filed under the name uncultured bacterium. RNAcentral describes it as "partial 16S ribosomal RNA". It matches the Rfam family "Bacterial small subunit ribosomal RNA", at positions 100 to 354 of the family's 1533-position model. The record is from RNAcentral.